This 201-nucleotide long non-coding RNA is filed under the name Gossypium barbadense (sea-island cotton). RNAcentral's name for it is "long non-coding RNA (GBAR_LNC004073)". Lineage: Eukaryota; Viridiplantae; Streptophyta; Magnoliopsida; Malvales; Malvaceae. The record is from RNAcentral.
ACUAAGUUCGGGCAGAUCGGAGUCUCAUUUCAAUGAGUUUUGGCCCACACACCUCUAAGAGGAGGGAUAAGUUCCCAGCUAUAGUCACUGCCAUGCCCCUUUUUAAAAAGCCUCGUCUUGAGAUCAGAUUCCCUUGCUCUACUAGUAGCAGGUUUUUAUUCCUAUCAUCUUUUUGAGAAUUCAACAUCCAGUUCAUAGAGA